Molecule: transfer RNA, 67 nt
Filed under: Marmota monax (woodchuck)
Lineage: Eukaryota; Metazoa; Chordata; Mammalia; Rodentia; Sciuridae
Description: tRNA.Thr
Source: RNAcentral
GGUUGUGGCUCAGCGGUAAAGUAUUCACCUAGUACAGUGCAAGGCCCUGGUUCGAUCCUCAGCAUCA